UACGUAGGGCGCAAGCGUUGUCCGGAAUUAUUGGGCGUAAAGAGCUCGUAGGCGGCUUGUCACGUCGGGUGUGAAAGCCCGGGGCUUAACCCCGGGUCUGCACUCGAUACGGGCUGGCUAGAGUGUGGUAGGGGAGAUCGGAAUUCCUGGUGUAGCGGUGAAAUGCGCAGAUAUCAGGAGGAACACCGGUGGCGAAGGCGGAUCUCUGGGCCAUUACUGACGCUGAGGAGCGAAAGCGUGGGGAGCGAACAGG
RNAcentral lists this ribosomal RNA (253 nucleotides) under uncultured bacterium. RNAcentral describes it as "partial 16S ribosomal RNA". It matches the Rfam family "Bacterial small subunit ribosomal RNA", at positions 524 to 776 of the family's 1533-position model. The record is from RNAcentral.